GAUGAACGCUAGCGGCAGGCCUAAUACAUGCAAGUCGAACGGAGCAGCAAUGCUCAGUGGCGCACGGGUGCGUAACGCGUAUGCAACCUACCUUUCAGCGGGGGAUAGCCCGGGGAAACCCGGAUUAAUACCGCAUAAGAUCAUAGAAUGGCAUCAUUUGGUGAUUAAACAUUUAUGGCUGAAAGAUGGGCAUGCGUUAG
Molecule: ribosomal RNA, 200 nt
Filed under: uncultured bacterium
Lineage: Bacteria
Description: partial 16S ribosomal RNA
Rfam family: Bacterial small subunit ribosomal RNA
Source: RNAcentral